Molecule: ribosomal RNA, 242 nt
Filed under: uncultured bacterium
Lineage: Bacteria
Description: partial 16S ribosomal RNA
Rfam family: Bacterial small subunit ribosomal RNA
Source: RNAcentral
ACUCGAGUGGCGAACGGGUGAGUAACACGUGGGUGAUCUGCCCUGUACUUCGGGAUAAGCUUGGGAAACUGGGUCUAAUACCGGAUAGGAGCUGCAUGUUGGUGUGUGGUUGGAAAGCUUUUGCGGUAUGGGAUGAGCUCGCGGCCUAUCAGCUUGUUGGUGGGGUAAUGGCCUACCAAGGCGUCGACGGGUAGCCGGCCUGAGAGGGUGUGCGGCCACAUUGGGACUGAGAUACGGCCCAG